CCCAGACUCCUACGGGAGGCAGCAGUGGGGAAUAUUGCACAAUGGGGGAAACCCUGAUGCAGCGACGCCGCGUGAGUGAAGAAGUAUUUCGGUAUGUAAAGCUCUAUCAGCAGGGAAGAAAUAGCGACCUUUGGGUCGCCAGACGGUACCUGAUUAAGAAGCCCCGGCUAACUGCGUGCCAGCAGCCGCGGUAAUACGUAGGGGGCAAGCGUUAUCCGGAUUUACUGGGUGUAAAGGGAGCGUAGACGGCAGCGCAAGUCUGAAGUGAAAUGCCGGGGCUUAACCCCGGAACUGCUUUGGAAACUGUGCAGCUAGAGUGCAGGAGAGGUAAGUGGAAUUCCUAGUGUAGCGGUGAAAUGCGUAGAUAUUAGGAGGAACACCGGCGGCGAAGGCGGCCUGCUGGACUGAAACUGACGUUGAGGCUCGAAAGCGUGGGGAGCAAACAGGAUUAGAUACCCUCGUAAC
RNAcentral lists this ribosomal RNA (465 nucleotides) under uncultured bacterium. Its description in RNAcentral is "bacterial SSU rRNA". It matches the Rfam family "Bacterial small subunit ribosomal RNA", at positions 330 to 794 of the family's 1533-position model. The record is from RNAcentral.